UAUUUGGAGAAAUGCUUAAUUCUCUUUUAGCUAUCAUUAUAACAUGUUUCUUAGGUUUUCAUAUAUGGUACAAAUUAAGAAAAUAUAUGAAUGAGUUAAUGUUAUGAGUAUAUAUUAUUUCAUAUUUUUAUGUACGUCGGGGUUUAUAUAUAUAUAUAUAUUAUUACGGUUUCGCUUAUGUUUAUUUGUGUUUAUUUUUUUAGGCUUAUUGCCAGGGGUAUGACGACAAUCGAGUUUUGUGAAAAACGGACAAAUUAUCACAAUCAGACUUAUACGAAAUAUUAUAAUAAGGGUUUAUGGCAGAAUUUCAAGGAUACCUUUGGCGAGUCAGCAUUUUUUUGGUUUCUACCAAUAGGUAUUUUUGCAUAUCAUUUUGUUUUUUAUAACAUUUUUCUUUAUUUUUACUAAUUGUCAUAUUUAUUUGUUCAAAAGUAUAUAUACACACACAUACGUACGCAUAUACAUACAUAUGAGUGUUUUUAUAAAUUUAUGAACUUAUGUGUUUAUAUAUUAUUAUAUUACGAAAAUGUAUGCUGUUGUUGUUUUUGCAUUUUCUUUUUAUAAUAAGUAUUUGAUGUGUAUGGAUGUUUCUAUAUAUAUGUGAUUUGUAUAUAAAUUUAUCUAUAUUCGCAAUAUACAUAUAUAUAUAUAUAUAUAUAUAUAUACAACUCGCUUUUUUACGUUUUUAGAUGAUAGGAAAGGAGAUGGAAUAAAUUUUAAAAAAGUCCAUAAAGAUGAGAAAAG
RNAcentral lists this long non-coding RNA (744 nucleotides) under Piliocolobus tephrosceles (Ugandan red Colobus). RNAcentral describes it as "lncRNA (ENSPTEG00000008912.1)". The record is from RNAcentral. Lineage: Eukaryota; Metazoa; Chordata; Mammalia; Primates; Cercopithecidae.